UACAGAGGUCCCAAGCGUUGUUCGGAUUCACUGGGCGUAAAGGGUGCGUAGGUGGUCGGGUAAGUUUGAUGUGAAAUCUCCGGGCUUAACCCGGAAAUGGCAUUGAAUACUAUUCGGCUGGAGGGUUGGAGGGGGGACUGGAAUUCUCGGUGUAGCAGUGAAAUGCGUAGAUAUCGUGAGGAAGACCAGUGGCGAAGGCGGAUCUCUGGACAGUUCCUGACGCUGAGGCGCGAAGGCCAGGGGAGCAAACGGG
RNAcentral lists this ribosomal RNA (253 nucleotides) under uncultured bacterium. RNAcentral's name for it is "partial 16S ribosomal RNA". It matches the Rfam family "Bacterial small subunit ribosomal RNA", at positions 524 to 776 of the family's 1533-position model. The record is from RNAcentral.